This 2577-nucleotide long non-coding RNA is filed under the name Nasonia vitripennis (jewel wasp). RNAcentral describes it as "uncharacterized LOC107981060, transcript variant X2". The record is from RNAcentral. Lineage: Eukaryota; Metazoa; Arthropoda; Insecta; Hymenoptera; Pteromalidae.
AGUAUAGACUCGAGAACUGGCAUAGGUAUUAGGUAAUAUUAUACCCGAGGAGGGCGCCAGCUCCGUCGUACUGCGCGCGGGCUGCAGAAGAAUAUCGAACGGACGGAAUUCGCGUUGAUUAGCAAAAAAAAAAGAAAUUGCUUAAUUGCCCGGUAAUUAUCGUGCGAGGUUUGCAUUCGCGCACAGUUAUACCCAUACCUACGAUCAGCUACUUGAUUCGUGAUCGGCCAUUUAACUCGACAGUGGAAGCCUGCGGAAGCGAGGGGAAAGCGAAAGAAUACGAGGAAUGAUAUGCGGCUGCGCGUGGAAACUGACGUCAACUGUAACCAAUCGGAGCCAAUUAAAAGAUGCCGGUGCGCUGCUAUCUCUCUUACGACGACUCGCGAUACUUAUCGUAUAGCACGUUCGAAGCAAUCGAAGCCUGGGAGCGGUGGAUCCCCUAAAUCCAAUGAUGAUUGCCGUGUAAUAUCCAGAGAGCAACACCUACACACGCGCAAUCGGUAUCAGUGACGGCAAACUAAGCUGCUUAUAACCGCGUGUUUGGCAUUCGCCGAAUACACUGAAGUGUUGGCUGCUCGAAACGUAAAGUGUGAAUCCCGCAUCUACAAAUAUUACGCUUGAAAGAGACCUGCACUGACAUGAUAUGAAUAAUUGAGCUUUAUCUGAACGAAAUUUCGCCGAUAACGAUUAUUCGUUGGGAUAAGCGUAUCAUAUGAAUUAAAUGUCGUAUGCAGAUGCCAAAAAUAGUUAUUCGCAAGUAAAGCAGCCGAUUUUCUGAAUUUAUCUAUAGCCUCAGUUAUAUCCACUAAUUUUCAAAGUACAGCUAUUAUAUUAUAUAGCGCAACGAUGCAUAUAACUGUUCCGCGAUGAUUCACCAAAUUCACGCGAAGUAUCGACUUUUUCUUUAAAAUGCGGGCACUCAUUAUUGCUGGCCUCUGCUGUGACUAGCAGUGUAAGAGGAUGUUUUUAUGAAUUCAUGAAGCGAUAACGAUUUUUCGAUUCUCCCUGCAAAAGAGGAUAUUACUUAUGUAACUGCGCACGAAAAGCAAGAAGUAUUCAAUGAGACAAUGAGACAUAAAGUAAUCAAUAACAGUUUACAGUUCAUAGAUGCCGCGCGAUUCGAACUUUCGACAAAUUUCAAAUCAAAAGUCGAUAAAACAAUUCACAGCUGCCGCGCGGAUGACGUUUACAUUGGACAGAUAGAGGAGAUCCUUGGCCUGAAAGUUAUCGUUUCAACCGGGCUCCGAUACAGUCAGAGCUGGAAAAUGGCAUACCUCCGUGAAUCGGAUAUCGACCUAUAUAAUACGAUUUAUAUCCAACAAUAAUAAUCCCCUCGAUCUCAGUCUUAUAUACAGUAUAUAUGCUGGUUCAAUUGUACGACUGCAUCGUUUAAUAGCUAGUCAUUCGCCCAUGUGAGCCAGAUCAAAGAUACAUGCAUAUGCAAUAAUGGUGAAUUAUAUAUAUAUAUAUAUAUAUAUAUCUUACACUUUUCGCGCGGAGCGAAAUAAUUCAAUAAUUCAAUUGAGAGAAGCAAACAAGCCGACGCGCAGUCGAUCGGAACUUUUGCCCUUUAGCGCUAUGCAACACACAUGCCGAGGACAAUGCGAUUGUUCGCUUGCCUGUCUGCCUUGCCGGCGCUCGAACCGCUUUAGCACUUAAAACGUGCGUUUGGAAAAGCCUGUGCGCAGAUUACGAUAAGUGCCCCGAGAGCUGAUACAGACUCAUUUCUUUCCUCGUUUUCGGCAUAAGUUAUCUCCUUCUCAUAUACCUUCAUUAUCCUUAUCGCCAGCGAUAUAUUCGAUAUUUCAAUCAGAAAUUGCGAUCUUCCUUUGCAUGCUCGAUGCAACAGCUGGACAAAAGAUGAUUUAGUUUUACUCGAGAGGAACUGCGAGGUCGUAAAGUAUUUCAACCAAUAUUUUUCAGCAAGUAAUUUAUUUGCCAUAUUCUUUACUACUAGCAGACAAUACCUUCGAGGCAAACGUAGAAGUUGAAAAAAAAAAAAAAUACUUGUAAUGCUUCAUUAGCACGUAUAUAUUUGCACUCUGUACUUACCGAAACGCACACGACAUCGCGAAAAUCGAGGGUUGCAAGCCUCACAGCCUUGAAAAGAUUUCACUUCUUAAAAACACAAUAUCUACUUUACGAAAUAUUUCCUUUAUUUUUGCAACAAUGAAGAGUUUACAAGCUUUGUAUUUUUAGAAAUUCACAAUUUCCGUUCAAUCUAAGUAUAGAUAUUUUAAACACAGUUCGCCGAUAAUAUAACAGCAACUUUUAUAAAGAUCCUCUUAGCCGAAACUGACGUUUUAUCUCGAGAAAAAUUGUGCAUGUGCAUGCUCCUAAGGUCUCAGUAUAUCUUUUGUAGAAUGUGCUCUUUGUCAAGCGUGUCAGUCUUUUUGUUUAAGUCAGACAAUCUAAUCAAGUUUCAACGCGGUAAUGUACAUGUAUUUAUUAAUCUCUUGGAUGAGAUGACCCAUGAUUUAGAGAUUUUACUUUCUCUUACAACUACAAGUCGUCUUAGUAGAAACUUUUGGCAAUUGAACAUUGCUUUGUGAUGUUUGUAUAAAAUAUAUGACAAAA